GAUGAACGCUGGCGGCGUGCCUAAUACAUGCAAGUCGAGCGAACAGACGAGGAGCUUGCUCCUCUGACGUUAGCGGCGGACGGGUGAGUAACACGUGGAUAACCUACCUAUAAGACUGGGAUAACUUCGGGAAACCGGAGCUAAUACCGGAUAACAUGUUGAACCGCAUGGUUUAACAGUGAAAGACGGUCUUGCUGUCACUUAUAGAUGGAUCCGCGCCGCAUUAGCUAGUUGGUAAGGUAACGGCUUACCAAGGCAACGAUGCGUAGCCGACCUGAGAGGGUGAUCGGCCACACUGGAACUGAGACACGGUCCAGACUCCUACGGGAGGCAGCAGUAGGGAAUCUUCCGCAAUGGGCGAAAGCCUGGCGGAGCAACGCCGCGUGAGUGAAGAAGGUCUUCGGAUCGUAAAACUCUGUUAUUAGGGAAGAACAAAUGUGUAAGUAACUAUGCACGUCUUGACGGUACCUAAUCAGAAAGCCACGGCUAACUACGUG
Molecule: ribosomal RNA, 497 nt
Filed under: uncultured bacterium
Lineage: Bacteria
Description: partial 16S ribosomal RNA
Rfam family: Bacterial small subunit ribosomal RNA
Source: RNAcentral